GAGCAUCCUUGAAAACCCCCCAGUUGCUCUUGGUAGCGUCUGGGACAAGAAAGGAUGCAAGAUCAAUCUUAGAAUCAUCCAAAACUGGGAGUUGGUGUUAGUAGCUCUCAGUUAUUUCACCUCUAAGACAGAA
Molecule: small nucleolar RNA, 133 nt
Filed under: Mastacembelus armatus (zig-zag eel)
Lineage: Eukaryota; Metazoa; Chordata; Actinopteri; Synbranchiformes; Mastacembelidae
Description: Small nucleolar RNA SNORA14 (ENSMAMG00000017279.2)
Rfam family: Small nucleolar RNA SNORA14
About the family: ACA14 is a member of the H/ACA class of snoRNA that guide the sites of modification of uridines to pseudouridines.
Source: Rfam by way of RNAcentral